CUUGUGUAUUACGGUACAUGCACAUGUAGCCUAUGAGCUCCUAAUUCGUGUUUUCCCACGCAGUAAUUUCAGACAUACAUACAUCGAUGUGUGUACGUACCCUCCUCCUCCUGAGCACGGCACAUUGAUGACCUGGCCGAUUUGCAGACUGUUGGGGUCAACUCCCGGGUUCAAGGACUGAAUGGCGUCCACGGUGGUGCCGCACCGUAAAGCAACGGCCCCCAAGGUGUCACCAGACUUGAUGGUGUACGUGCAGCCGCUGCCGCUGCUUGGUGCUGCUUAAUUGAAUUGGGGGAAUAAGCCAAUGCAAAGGGAGGAGACUAAGUAAAGGGGCAAUCACAUCCGGCCAUGCACACACGUGUGCAUGUACAUGGAUGUAUAGUCGAUCCCUGUAAUUGUAUAAAGAUGUGCAGGCACAGACAUACUGACUUUGCUUCCAGCAUGUAGGGUGUUACAUAAUACCGCGCAGAUAGCAACAGCCGGCUCACGAACAGCACACAUGUGUUGGCAGCCCACAGCAGUGAGCUGCCCACCCAGGUCGUUGGUUGGAGUAGCAAUUUGUUGUAUCACGUCUUAUCGCAGGAAAAGAACCGAUCGGGGGAUACUAGAUUCCGUGAUACCCAGGAUACUACACAAUAACAUGUUUCACUUCCUAAACAGGCAACCAGCACGCAUCCAUACGCCGUGAUUGAUGAACAGCAUGUGCUUACCGGAUCUGCUUCAUGUGCCCAUGGAGGCACGAUAUGGUUUAUGUACGGGAUUGGAGGGGAAGAAAAGAGGGUUGCGGUAGGUGGGGGAAUAUUUAAGUUGUCGGGCUAUAUAUGGGCAGCAGGAAUAUUAAAAGAGGUAGGAUGGAAAUUGCUUUAAACCACGUUCAAUAUAGGUCGUACUGUGAUAUAUAAUGAAACGGAUGAUUAGUAAUGCACAGACUUCUCUUUCAGAGAGAAGGCUAGAUCUUGGAAGAAACAUGAUCUAGGUUAAGUCAAAGUAUGGUAACAUCGUACAGGUUGCAUAAGAGAUAGGUUGGGAGAUAGAGAUGCUAGGCUCUGCCAGAGCUCUGUACAGCUCUUCAACUGUUCAGUAGAGCGCCAUUAAUCGAUAACAUCUUUGCAAUGAGAGGCGCCGGCAGUAAAUGCCCGCCCACCCACGCAGGUAAUGGCUUGGAAUCAACUGCAAUUGGACACUUGAUCCGGCGGGAUGUUAGUCGAGCAUCUAUCCGCCACUAGGUCAACUUGGAAGCGCUGGUUUACGAAUUGCCGGUCUGCCAUUACAGCAGCAGGUCAGGUUGGAUCGAUGCCAUCUGCUGCAGGUAUCUGGAAAAUGCAUGGGGAUAGGCGGCGUAGUUCGCUUAGUAUGGCACAUCUUCCUUAAGUGUAAAGGUCGUACAGAGGACAAGAACCGUGACAUAAAUUCAGCCAAUGGCCUGCCCUCUGUCGGACAUGACGCCACCAGCACAUGCAGCCUGCUGUAUUCUGGGCAUACCACGGAAUCCGCAUCCGCGGAUCGCUACUUUUCUGAUGUCGUGAUAUAACACAGCCAUCCAUCUACUGCUGAUGCACGCACGUGUCCUAAAUGUUCCAGGCACUUGCGCUCGCUGACAGCUGCAGCCAGCAAUAAUGGAUCACCUCCUUCGUUAGAUGGAUAGAUGGAUAGAUCAGAUUAGAUAGGUACAUAUGAUAGAUAAAUUUAGGUAGCUAGAUAGAUAUGAUUAGACAGGUAUGAUAUGCUAGAUAAGCCUGAUAGAGUUUGGUUACAUUGCUACAGGAAAGCAUUACACACAGUACCUGCCUGCCUUGUGCAACGAUUACUAAUUAAAGGUAUGCAAGGUUGAAUAUUUAGGCGAAAACGAAAGAGGGGUCUAGAGCUACAGACAAAAUGUAUUACCUGCACUCGGUAGAUAUCAAUGCUGGAACAAUAUGUGGUCAGCGGUGCUUGUGUAUUACGGUACAUGCACAUGUAGCCUAUGAGCUCCUAAUUCGUGUUUUCCCACGCAGUAAUUUCAGACAUACAUACAUCGAUGUGUGUACGUACCCUGAGCACGGCACAUUGAUGACCUGGCCGAUUUGCAACAUGUAGGGGUCAACUCCCGGGUUCAAGGACUGAAUGGCGUCCAGGGUGGUGCCGCGCCGUAAAGCAACGGCCCAAAAGGUGUCACCAGACUUGAUGGUGUACGUGCAGCCGCUGCCGCUGCUUGGUG
Molecule: long non-coding RNA, 2197 nt
Filed under: Volvox carteri
Lineage: Eukaryota; Viridiplantae; Chlorophyta; Chlorophyceae; Chlamydomonadales; Volvocaceae
Description: long non-coding RNA (VCAR_LNC001645)
Source: RNAcentral